Caenorhabditis brenneri is the source of this 67-nucleotide non-coding RNA. NCBI's taxonomy places the organism in Eukaryota, Metazoa, Nematoda, Chromadorea, Rhabditida, Rhabditidae. The record is from Rfam.
UGUAGUCUCUAAUGUUCGAUCAGAAACAAAUCACGAAAUGAGUUCUGGUUGUCCUAGAAACUACGAA